Long non-coding RNA from Sinocyclocheilus grahami, 212 nucleotides. RefSeq lists it as uncharacterized. The transcript has 3 exons. Lineage: Eukaryota; Metazoa; Chordata; Actinopteri; Cypriniformes; Cyprinidae. The record is from RefSeq and is a predicted model, not a curated record.
AGAACAUGUUCCCCUCGAUCAACGUACACAAGCUCAACCUCAACAGCAUAAAAAGAUGCGUGCUGUUAAAUUAUGAUCCCGUGUCCCAAGAGGUGGAGUUUCGUCAUUACAGCUUGAAGGUGGUGCCUGUGGGCAUGAGUCGAGGGGUGAAGAAGCUCAUGCAGGAGAAGUUCCCCAACAUGAGCAAGCUGGAGGACAUCAGCGAGCUCCUC